ACCAACUACACACACCAUGUACUCUACAUCUCUACUCCUCCUGCUGGCAGCUGCUUCCUAUGUCCACAGUUAUGAACUGACUCAGCCUGCUGCCAUUACAGUCCAGCCAGGCCAGAGUCUCUCCAUCCCCUGUAAGACUUCCUAUUCAGUUACGAGCGAGGAUACAGCUUGGAUCCGACAACCUGCAGGAAAAGCUCUGGAGUGGAUUGGUAUAAUCUGGACUAGUGGGAGCACAACUUACAAUGACAAGUUGAAAAAUAAGUUCAGCAUCUCCAGAGACACUUCUACUAACACAAUAACAAUUCGAGGACAGAAUCUGCAAACUGAAGACACAGCUGUGUAUUACUGCGCAAGUGAUACACUGUGA
Molecule: non-coding RNA, 367 nt
Organism: Clarias gariepinus (North African catfish)
Lineage: Eukaryota; Metazoa; Chordata; Actinopteri; Siluriformes; Clariidae
Source: the annotation of a RefSeq genome assembly